CUCUUACCUUCCUACAUUUAGCACUGAGCACAUGUGGGAUAACACGAGGAGAAACGAGGACUAGCUAGCCCGCUGCGGCCGCUCCAUCCUCCCGAGGCUGGGGAAGAGAUGUCGGCUGGAGGCACGCAGUCGUUCUUCAUUGAGAGGUGGAGAGCGCACAGGCGUCACCCCACCCUUCUACUACUUCAUGUGGGCGCUGCUGAAGACUGACAGGAAGCUCCUCAUCCACAAUCUCCCUGGCAACAAGUGGCGAAAAAGCUGAGCGACGGUUCCCUCGGCCAAUCGCAGGCCCCGAGCGCGGUGACGACACAUGACUCCAGCGUGCCCCGGCCAAUGGCGACGCGGCAAGGGUGGGGUCCCGGGGAAACGCCGAAUUCCUAUUGGAGGUCUGCGCGGUGUUAGCAUCGUUAGCUCCUGUGCUGCUAACUACCGUGACAAUCCCAACUAGUUUAAAAAGUCGCCCGGACAACGCGCCGCGCUGCGCCCGCUCAUGCUCGCGUCGACGCCGGGCAGCAGCCGCCGGUGUCCGGGGGAGCGGCGGGUCCGUGACACGCCCGUAAGUGUUGAAAUUUGAUCUGGAUGUUUAGGAUGAAAAAGAAAAUGCUGCUGGGAAAUCACCAACUGAGUGAGCACAAAUAAAGUGAAACAGAAA
Paralichthys olivaceus (Japanese flounder) is the source of this 652-nucleotide long non-coding RNA. RefSeq lists it as uncharacterized. NCBI's taxonomy places the organism in Eukaryota, Metazoa, Chordata, Actinopteri, Pleuronectiformes, Paralichthyidae. The record is from RefSeq and is a predicted model, not a curated record.